This 134-nucleotide RNase P RNA is filed under the name Gammaproteobacteria bacterium. RNAcentral's name for it is "partial RNase P RNA component class A". It matches the Rfam family "Bacterial RNase P class A", at positions 219 to 367 of the family's 367-position model. Rfam says of the family: Ribonuclease P (RNase P) is a ubiquitous endoribonuclease, found in archaea, bacteria and eukarya as well as chloroplasts and mitochondria. The record is from RNAcentral. Lineage: Bacteria; Pseudomonadati; Pseudomonadota; Gammaproteobacteria.
GAAGCAAAACCAAAUAGAAAUCCUAUAAAGUUGCUCGCUUUGGAUUUGGGUAGGUUGCUAGAAUAUUAUGGCAACAUAAUAUCAAGAUAGAUGAUCAUCUUUUACAGAAUCCGGCUUACAAACCAACUCAUUUC